GACAGAAAGUGCAGGCGUUAUUCGGAUUGACUGGGCGUUAAGGGUAUGUAGGCCGCUGAAUGUAACAAGGAGGGAAAAGCUCAGGAAUCAGCUGAGAAGUCUUCCUGAAGAUUAUUAAGCUAGAGUUUAGGCGGGGUUGGGAGAAUUAGUAAAGUAACGGAGUAAAAUCCUACGAUAUUACUAGGAAGACCAAUGGCGAAAGCACCUUUCUAGCCUAAACUGACGCUGAGGUACGAAAGGUUGGGGAUCAAAGCGG
This 256-nucleotide unclassified non-coding RNA is filed under the name uncultured bacterium. Its description in RNAcentral is "contains 16S-23S intergenic spacer region". It matches the Rfam family "Bacterial small subunit ribosomal RNA", at positions 524 to 776 of the family's 1533-position model. The record is from RNAcentral.